GUAAUUCUGAUUCAGUGGUUGGUAUAUGGUGUUUAUUGUAGUUCUACUUGUUUUCAGGCUUGCAACUAAAUACUUCAGAGAGUGAAUUAUUUGCUGCUGAAGUCUUAGAAGAUAGUUGGAUUCUAUGAUUUCAGAUCACUGGGUUCAAGGUAGCAGGUUACUGGUUCGAUAUCUUGGACUUCCUCCUGUUGCUAGGAAGCUUUCUAUUCCUGAUUGCAAGGCUUUGAUUGAGAAGAUUGUUGCCAAAAUCAAUCAUUGGUCUUGCAGUUAUGUAAUAAUAUCAGUCGAGCGAUUGGUACGUGGCAGCAAGAGUUGAAUUGGGUUGUUACUUUUCUCAAAGUCAAGUCCCUAUUGUUUGCAUUUAGAAGCUGACAUGGAAUGCUGAUAUCCGUGCUAUUUGGUGUGAAAGGAAUGGAAGGGUUUUUG
This 426-nucleotide long non-coding RNA is filed under the name Gossypium barbadense (sea-island cotton). Its description in RNAcentral is "long non-coding RNA (GBAR_LNC003865)". Lineage: Eukaryota; Viridiplantae; Streptophyta; Magnoliopsida; Malvales; Malvaceae. The record is from RNAcentral.